GAUGAACGCUGGCGGCGUGCUUAACACAUGCAAGUCGAACGAAGCACUUUAUUACGAUUUCUUCGGAAUGACGAUUUGGUGACUGAGUGGCGGACGGGUGAGUAACGCGUGGGUAACCUGCCUUAUACAGGGGGAUAACAGUUGGAAACGGCUGCUAAUACCGCAUAAGCGCACAGGGUCGCAUGACCUGGUGUGAAAAACUCCGGUGGUAUGAGAUGGACCCGCGUUGGAUUAGCUGGUUGGUGAGGUAACGGCCCACCAAGGCGACGAUCCAUAGCCGACCUGAGAGGGUGACCGGCCACAUUGGGACUGAGACACGGCCCAAACUCCUACGGGAGGCAGCAGUGGGGAAUAUUGCACAAUGGGCGAAAGCCUGAUGCAGCGACGCCGCGUGAGUGAAGAAGUAUUUCGGUAUGUAAAGCUCUAUCAGCAGGAAGAUAAUGACGGUACCUGACUAAGAAGCACCGGCUAAAUACGUG
This 479-nucleotide ribosomal RNA is filed under the name uncultured bacterium. RNAcentral describes it as "bacterial SSU rRNA". It matches the Rfam family "Bacterial small subunit ribosomal RNA", at positions 28 to 507 of the family's 1533-position model. The record is from RNAcentral.